UGGGGAAUUUUGGACAAUGGGGGCAACCCUGAUCCAGCCAUCCCGCGUGUGCGAUGAAGGCCUUCGGGUUGUAAAGCACUUUUGGCAGGGAAGAAGCAGCCUGGGAUAAUACCCCGGGCGACUGACGGUACCUGCAGAAUAAGCACCGGCUAACUACGUGCCAGCAGCCGCGGUAAUACGUAGGGUGCAAGCGUUAAUCGGAAUUACUGGGCGUAAAGCGUGCGCAGGCGGUUCGGAAAGAAAGGUGUGAAAUCCCAGGGCUUAACCUUGGAACUGCACUUUUAACUACCGAGCUAGAGUACGUCAGAGGGGGGUAGAAUUCCACGUGUAGCAGUGAAAUGCGUAGAGAUGUGGAGGAAUACCGAUGGCGAAGGCAGCCCCCUGGGAUGAUACUGACGCUCAUGCACGAAAGCGUGGGGAGCAAACAGGAUUAGAUACCCUGGUAGUCCACGCCCUAAACGAUGUCAACUAGCUGUUGGGGUUUAUUAACCUUAGUAGCGCAGCUAACGCGUGAAGUUGACCGCCUGGGGAGUACGGUCGCAAGAUUAAAAC
Molecule: ribosomal RNA, 552 nt
Filed under: uncultured bacterium
Lineage: Bacteria
Description: partial 16S ribosomal RNA
Rfam family: Bacterial small subunit ribosomal RNA
Source: RNAcentral